Salmo salar (Atlantic salmon) is the source of this 54-nucleotide non-coding RNA. The record is from Rfam. NCBI's taxonomy places the organism in Eukaryota, Metazoa, Chordata, Actinopteri, Salmoniformes, Salmonidae.
GGCACACACGGCUGUAAGUCGCAUUGGAUAAAAGCAUCUGCUAAAUGGAUUAUA